GCUACAGAUACUCUUGCCAUCAGAUGGCUUUUCUGCAGUGUCCUGCACAGCUUUGACCUGCUGAGGACUACAGACUCUCCACUUUCAUGAAACUAAUUGAGAAACACCAGAGUAGGAAGUAAUACUAGUCAUAAAGAGAUGUUCUGCUUCCUCCCUCACUUCCAGUUUUCCACUAGGGGUGGCAGCUGUAGUUAUUCAUUGCUUCCACCAUGCAGCCAGAGGACAGCCAUCCUUGGGACGUGGUGAUCCAGGCGUUGAGCCUCACAGAGCGAUGUGCCAUGGCUCUGGAAAGGGCAGUGUAGGAACUGAUACACUGGCUGAACUGGUGACCCACGUGAUCAAACAGUCUGUUGCUGUCCACAGCUGCUGGCAGAUGACACAUGAAGAUGCUAUUGUGGAUAAUUAUGGAGUGUCUGGCAGAAGAGGUACUUUUGUAACUUCAGAUACUCCCACAAAGAGAUCAUUUACUUUAUGAAAGGUGAGAUGCAGCCCAGCAAGCUCUUGACUGUGAAGAGCAAAUGUUUUAUUUAAGAUGUCUUUGUACCCUGCUGUGGACCCCCAGUUGGAUGAGCACCUCUUCAGGCUGGAGCCAUGGCCUCUGUGGUUUUACAGUGCUGAUAGACCAGCCAGAAGGCGUGGGCAUCUGGAGAAACUGAGUCCACCCCAAGGAAAUGUGUUUGAGUGGAAAAGGCACUUGCAGGACCAAAGGACACCUGCGGUUUAGUCCUGUUUCUCCCACUCACCUCCUGCCUGCCUGUGUGUGAACCAGCCCAUCUCCUCACUGGGCAUUUGCACAGCACAAAUAUCACUUGUUGGAGUAUCUUCUGCUCCAGCUGUCCAAGUGUGGGUUAGGAGAGGAACCCUGUUUGUGGCUGCUGUUUCUAUCCAAGCUUGCACUAGCUCCAGGGACCAUUCUCCCCUAUGACCCGAACGUCUGAUACAAAUUAGCUCCAUGAUAUUCUUAAUCAGGAGUGCUCCAUGAGCAACAUGUGUGAUAACUUCUCACCUCUUACCUUCCUCUGCUGCAGUUAUUUUUAGACCCUUCUGUGUCUUCCACUGAAGACCUACCACGUGUGGAAGGGCUUGCGUACUGCUGAGGUUCUCUGGCUUUCAUUAGGCUCUGACCCUGCUCUCAGUGGUGGUGGAUGAGAGCUUUGCAAGUCGUUUAGGCUGGGAGAGGAUCAGAUCUCUGCAGAGGGUUUUCAGACCCCUCCAGUGUCAGAAAAGCUACAGUGCUUACAAGGCACAACUUCAACUUCCAUACAAUUUAUAAUUUCCUUUAAUUGCUGAAAGUGCUGUAAUUUUUACACCGUUGUGAAAGGAUCUUUGUUUACAGUGAUUGCAGAGGGUAAUAUUUCUAGCAUGGGUAACCAUGGCAAUGAAUAAUUCUAUUCUCAGGAACUGUGCCAGCUGCACUAAUGCCUUAUAGUAGCACUCAAGCAGUUUGCUAAUGAGAGACUUCUCGUUUAUUGCAG
Molecule: long non-coding RNA, 1475 nt
Filed under: Athene cunicularia (burrowing owl)
Lineage: Eukaryota; Metazoa; Chordata; Aves; Strigiformes; Strigidae
Description: lncRNA (ENSACUG00000002374.1)
Source: RNAcentral